AUCCGCGACCGUGCCGGUGAGCUAUAAGAGAAACGACAUAAGAGACGGUUUUUUCGGAUAUACUCGUAAUAUUACAUCGUCCAUACGUAUAAUAUGUAUUCCGUUGUAGCCGCCGCCUUACACCGGAAGUGCAUCGUCGGCUCUAUGCGCGUUGCCGUGUUGUUGUUAUUGUAUCUAUAGUAUCCUCAACCAAUCGACAAGUUGUAAACAUAAUUUUCGCGAGUGGUUUCCG
Molecule: non-coding RNA, 232 nt
Organism: Cinara cedri
Lineage: Eukaryota; Metazoa; Arthropoda; Insecta; Hemiptera; Aphididae
Source: the annotation of a GenBank genome assembly